GGGUGGCGAGACCCGACUAUCGGUCGGGGGCCUGCUAGGUUCGGCGGGCUCCCGACCUCUCCUCCGCUUCUCUUUCGGGCCUCUGGGCUCGGCCAAACGUCGGUCAGACGCUCCUUCAUCCGCACGCAUAUACUUGUAUGCGCGCUCCAGCAGCUCGGCGUAUGUCCGGGGGAGGGUCUUGUCCAGAGAGUAGGUGAAUCGGGAUGCCCUCAGGCCCCGCUUCAUGGCUGAGACAGCCAUGUCUUCGUUGAGGUCCCGGACCUCAAACGUGGCCGUGUUGAAUCGCGCCACGAAGUGUCGGAGCGUCUCAUUUUCCCCCUGCUUGAGGGAGAAAAGGCUGUCCGACGUUCGCGGCGGCUUUCAGCUGGUGCUGAAAUGGGCCACGAACGAGUGCUCGAGCUGCCCAAAGGAGUGGAUACUUUCCGACCGGAGGCCGGAGUACCAGGCCCUGGCAGCCUUGCGGAGCGUAGCGGGGAAGCCGAUGCAAAAAAGAGCAUCGGUUUCCCCUUGAAUCGUCAUGAGAGCUUUAUAGCCCUCGAGGUGGUCGACUGGGUCGGUGGAGCCGUCGUAUGGCUCCACGUGCGGCAUUUUGAACCGACUGGGAAUUGGCUCGUCGAGGACCAGUCGGGAGAGAGGUUGGGCGGUCUGGAAGUCGACGUCGUUCGAAGACUUCUGGCCGUCCAUCUGCAAC
Molecule: long non-coding RNA, 691 nt
Filed under: Elaeis guineensis (African oil palm)
Lineage: Eukaryota; Viridiplantae; Streptophyta; Magnoliopsida; Arecales; Arecaceae
Description: long non-coding RNA (EGUI_LNC055493)
Source: RNAcentral